GACGAACGCUGGCGGCGUGCCUAAUACAUGCAAGUUGAGCGCUGAAGGUUGGUACUUGUACCGACUGGAUGAGCAGCGAACGGGUGAGUAACGCGUGGGGAAUCUGCCUUUGAGCGGGGGACAACAUUUGGAAACGAAUGCUAAUACCGCAUAAAAACUUUAAACACAAGUUUUAAGUUUGAAAGAUGCAAUUGCAUCACUCAAAGAUGAUCCCGCGUUGUAUUAGCUAGUUGGUGAGGUAAAGGCUCACCAAGGCGAUGAUACAUAGCCGACCUGAGAGGGUGAUCGGCCACAUUGGGACUGAGACACGGCCCAAACUCCUACGGGAGGCAGCAGUAGGGAAUCUUCGGCAAUGGACGAAAGUCUGACCGAGCAACGCCGCGUGAGUGAAGAAGGGUGUCGGAUCGUAAAACUCUGUUGGUAGAGAAGAACGUUGGUGAGAGUGGAAAGCUCAUCAAGUGACGGUAACUACACAGAAAGGGACGGCUAACUACGUG
RNAcentral lists this ribosomal RNA (497 nucleotides) under uncultured bacterium. RNAcentral's name for it is "partial 16S ribosomal RNA". It matches the Rfam family "Bacterial small subunit ribosomal RNA", at positions 28 to 507 of the family's 1533-position model. The record is from RNAcentral.